GUGUGGGGGACAUUCCACGUUUUCCGCGCCGUAGCUAACGCAUUAAGUGCCCCGCCUGGGGAGUACGGCCGCAAGGCUAAAACUCAAAGAAAUUGACGGGGGCCCGCACAAGCGGCGGAGCAUGCGGAUUAAUUCGAUGCAACGCGAAGAACCUUACCAAGGCUUGACAUAUACUGGACCGCAUCAGAGAUGGUGUUUCCCUUCGGGGCUGGUAUACAGGUGGUGCAUGGUUGUCGUCAGCUCGUGUCGUGAGAUGUUGGGUUAAGUCCCGCAACGAGCGCAACCCUCGUUCUAUGUUGCCAGCACGUUAUGGUGGGGACUCAUAGGAGACUGCCGGGGUCAACUCGGAGGAAGGUGGGGAUGACGUCAAAUCAUCAUGCCCCUUAUGUCUUGGGCUUCACGCAUGCUACAAUGGCCGGUACAGAGGGUUGCGAUACUGUGAGGUGGAGCUAAUCCCUAAAAGCCGGUCUCAGUUCGGAUUGGGGUCUGCAACUCGACCCCAUGAAGUCGGAGUCGCUAGUAAUCGCAGAUCAGCAACGCUGCGGUGAAUACGUUCCCGGGCCUUGUACACACCGCC
Molecule: ribosomal RNA, 577 nt
Filed under: uncultured bacterium
Lineage: Bacteria
Description: bacterial SSU rRNA
Rfam family: Bacterial small subunit ribosomal RNA
Source: RNAcentral